AAGUCGUAACAAGGUAACCGUAGGUGAACCUGCGGUUGGAUCAUUAAAAAAUCAAAAGCCUGUCAUCGAGUACCCCUUUGUCAAAGGCAAAGCUGGAGAAAAAUGAAUGUUGGCACCACAUCUUGUGAACCGUAUUUGUCUUUGGUGGUUGGGCGGUUUGCUUGUUUCAAGCUUCCGUCUGUCAGCUUGUGCUUUACAGCGCAAGCCGUGGACAAGCCACCGUCUGUUUGUUCAAACCUAAUUGUCUUCUUUUUUCUUGUCUAACAUUUUUUUUGUAUAAAUAUACAAACAACUUUUGGCAACGGAUCUCUUGGUUCUC
RNAcentral lists this unclassified non-coding RNA (319 nucleotides) under Spizellomyces dolichospermus. RNAcentral describes it as "partial internal transcribed spacer region". The stretch from base 1 to 46 matches the Rfam family "Eukaryotic small subunit ribosomal RNA", at positions 1786 to 1831 of the family's 1831-position model. Lineage: Eukaryota; Fungi; Chytridiomycota; Chytridiomycetes; Spizellomycetales; Spizellomycetaceae. The record is from RNAcentral.